AUUGAACGCUGGCGGCAGGCCUAACACAUGCAAGUCGAGCGGAUGAAGGGAGCUUGCUUCUGGAUUCAGCGGCGGACGGGUGAGUAAUGCCUAGGAAUCUGCCUGGUAGUGGGGGAUAACGUCCGGAAACGGGCGCUAAUACCGCAUACGUCCUGAGGGAGAAAGUGGGGGAUCUUCGGACCUCACGCUAUCAGAUGAGCCUACGUCGGAUUAGCUAGUUGGUGGGGUAAAGGCCUACCAAGGCGACGAUCCGUAACUGGUCUGAGAGGAUGAUCAGUCACACUGGAACUGAGACACGGUCCAGACUCCUACGGGAGGCAGCAGUGGGGAAUAUUGGACAAUUGGCGAAAGCCUGAUCCAGCCAUGCCGCGUGUGUGAAGAAGGUCUUCGGAUUGUAAAGCACUUUAAGUUGGGAGGAAGGGCAGUAAGUUAAUACCUUGCUGUUUUGACGUUACCAACAGAAUAAGCACCGGCUAACUUCGUG
Molecule: ribosomal RNA, 484 nt
Filed under: uncultured bacterium
Lineage: Bacteria
Description: partial 16S ribosomal RNA
Rfam family: Bacterial small subunit ribosomal RNA
Source: RNAcentral